RNAcentral lists this long non-coding RNA (809 nucleotides) under Olea europaea (common olive). RNAcentral describes it as "long non-coding RNA (OEUR_LNC005877)". Lineage: Eukaryota; Viridiplantae; Streptophyta; Magnoliopsida; Lamiales; Oleaceae. The record is from RNAcentral.
AUACAUUCAAUCGAAAAAUUCUUCAUAAUCUAUCAAAAUGUAAUUGCUACAAGGUUUUAGAAUUAAUAACGAUUACAUACUAUAAAUCCCAAAGUAGCAUUCAUCGAAACUAACCAAUCAUUUAGUUGUACACCUAAACAAUCAAGAAAAACAAAAUAAUCUUUUAACACAAUGGAUUAAACACAUCAAUCACGAGAACUAUAAAGCACAAAUUAAUUGAAAAUCAUAAUUCCGGUUUAAUAUAAUCCCCAACCACAAAUAUGUUUAAUUAUCCAUGAAAUAUCCACAAAUAACCAACAAAUUUUUACAAAAUAUUAAUGGAAAAUAAAUUAGAGAAAAGAAAAGCUUAUUGAUAAUUUGAGAAAUAGUUGAGAAAUGGGUCUCCUCUUCCAAGCUAUUUCACUAUCUCCAAGCUUUAAUCUUCGCCAAAAUAUCCAAGCAAAUUAAGGUGCAAGAUGAAGGAAAAUGAAAAACAAAAGAAAAGAAAAUAAAAGAAAAACGGCAGCCCAAAAAUAUUGGAAGAGAAAGUGCCGGCUGCUCCCCAAAUGAAAAACUGCCCAGAAAAGUCCCAUGUCCUAUGGUUUUAAAUCAAAACCUAAGUGAAUAUUGCAGCUGCUGUCCCUGAGAAUCUGGAAUUUAACAAAAAAUGCCCCGCUACAGUAAAGAUGGGCGCCUAGGCGCUGGAACAGUGGUGCCCAGGCGCCCAGUUUCUGCUUAAGUGGGCAGGCCGAGCUGCCUUUUCUGUUUUAUAAUUUUUUUUUUUUUAAAUUUCGGCUACGUUUUUUAUCGUCUUCUUCGUUUGCCUUCAU